CAACAGUUACUGAACCCUAUCAAACUCCGAAUGCCAUAUACUUGUACCCCGGCAGUCAGACUACGAAUGAUAAGAUCCGUGGUCAAAAGGGAAACAGCCCAGACCAUCAGCUAAGGUCCCAAAGUGUAAGUUAAGUGGGAAAGGAUGUGGGAUUUCUAAGACAACUAGGAUGUUGGCUUAGAAGCAGCCACUCAUUUAAAGAGUGCGUAAUAGCUCACUAGUCGAGAGAUCCUGCGCCGAAGAUGUAACGGGGCUCAAACUUACCACCGAAGCUAUGGAUGUGUACUUUGUACACGUGGUAGAGGAGCUUUCUGUACAGGUUGAAGUCAUACCGUAAGGAGUGGUGGACAGUACAGAAGUGAGAAUGCUGGCAUAAGUAGCGAAAAACAAGUGAGAAUCUUGUUGACCGAAUAUCUAAGGUUUCCUGGGGAAGGCUCGUCCUCCCAGGGUUAGUCGGGACCUAAGCCGAGGCCGAAAGGCGUAGGUGAUGGACAACUGGGUGAUAUUCCAGUACCACCAUAAUGCGUUUGACAAAUGGGAUGACGCAGGAGGAUAGGAUGUGCGCACUAUUGGAUGUGCGUCUAAGCACUUA
This 592-nucleotide ribosomal RNA is filed under the name Clostridium botulinum C. RNAcentral's name for it is "partial 23S ribosomal RNA". It matches the Rfam family "Bacterial large subunit ribosomal RNA", at positions 930 to 1522 of the family's 2925-position model. Lineage: Bacteria; Bacillati; Bacillota; Clostridia; Eubacteriales; Clostridiaceae. The record is from RNAcentral.